UAGGGAAUCUUCCACAAUGGACGCAAGUCUGAUGGAGCAACGCCGCGUGAGUGAAGAAGGCUUUCGGGUCGUAAAACUCUGUUAUUGAAGAAGAACGUGCGUGACAGUAACUGGUCAUGCAGUGACGGUAUUCAAUCAGAAAGUCACGGCUAACUACGUGCCAGCAGCCGCGGUAAUACGUAGGUGGCAAGCGUUGUCCGGAUUUAUUGGGCGUAAAGCGAGUGCAGGCGGUCUUUUAAGUCUGAUGUGAAAGCCUUCGGCUUAACCGAAGAAGGGCAUCGGAAACUGGGAGACUUGAGUGCAGAAGAGGAGAGUGGAACUCCAUGUGUAGCGGUGAAAUGCGUAGAUAUAUGGAAGAACACCAGUGGCGAAGGCGGCUCUCUGGUCUGUAACUGACGCUGAGGCUCGAAAGCGUGGGUAGCAAACAGGAUUAGAUACCCUGGUA
RNAcentral lists this ribosomal RNA (445 nucleotides) under uncultured bacterium. RNAcentral describes it as "partial 16S ribosomal RNA". It matches the Rfam family "Bacterial small subunit ribosomal RNA", at positions 355 to 792 of the family's 1533-position model. The record is from RNAcentral.